RNAcentral lists this transfer RNA (75 nucleotides) under Candidatus Riesia sp. RNAcentral's name for it is "tRNA-Ile". It matches the Rfam family "tRNA". From Rfam's summary of the family: Transfer RNA (tRNA) molecules are approximately 80 nucleotides in length. Their secondary structure includes four short double-helical elements and three loops (D, anti-codon, and T loops). Further hydrogen bonds mediate the characteristic L-shaped molecular structure. tRNAs have two regions of fundamental functional importance: the anti-codon, which is responsible for specific mRNA codon recognition, and the 3' end, to which the tRNAs corresponding amino acid is attached (by aminoacyl-tRNA synthetases). tRNAs cope with the degeneracy of the genetic code in two manners: having more than one tRNA (with a specific anti-codon) for a particular amino acid; and 'wobble' base-pairing, i.e. permitting non-standard base-pairing at the 3rd anti-codon position. Lineage: Bacteria; Pseudomonadati; Pseudomonadota; Gammaproteobacteria; Enterobacterales; Enterobacteriaceae. The record is from RNAcentral.
CGUACCGUAGUUCAAUGGAAGAGCGUUAGUCUGAUACACUGAAGGUUGCUGGUUCGACUCCAGCCGGUACGACCA